GCAUUGGUGCGUCAGUGGUAGAAUUCUCGCCUUCCAUGCGGGAGACGUGGGUUUGAUUCCUGGCUAAUGUA
RNAcentral lists this transfer RNA (71 nucleotides) under Loxodonta africana (African savanna elephant). It matches the Rfam family "tRNA". From Rfam's summary of the family: Transfer RNA (tRNA) molecules are approximately 80 nucleotides in length. Their secondary structure includes four short double-helical elements and three loops (D, anti-codon, and T loops). Further hydrogen bonds mediate the characteristic L-shaped molecular structure. tRNAs have two regions of fundamental functional importance: the anti-codon, which is responsible for specific mRNA codon recognition, and the 3' end, to which the tRNAs corresponding amino acid is attached (by aminoacyl-tRNA synthetases). tRNAs cope with the degeneracy of the genetic code in two manners: having more than one tRNA (with a specific anti-codon) for a particular amino acid; and 'wobble' base-pairing, i.e. permitting non-standard base-pairing at the 3rd anti-codon position. Lineage: Eukaryota; Metazoa; Chordata; Mammalia; Proboscidea; Elephantidae. The record is from Rfam by way of RNAcentral.